Molecule: long non-coding RNA, 834 nt
Organism: Drosophila miranda
Lineage: Eukaryota; Metazoa; Arthropoda; Insecta; Diptera; Drosophilidae
Exons: 3
Source: RefSeq, a predicted model, not a curated record
UGCCUUGAAUGCCAAAGUGGCGACGGCGACGGCGACGGCGACAACCCGUAUACCUACGACAACUGUCAGUUUUGUGUAUAAUCUAUAUCUGUGGGAUUGUUGUUUCUUGCAAAUUUUUGUUUUUAUAUUUGGUUUUUGUUGCUGUUGUUGUUGUGUUUUUGUUUUGUGUUGCCGUGUAUUGUUGUUGUGGAGCGUCUGAGAAGCGCCUUAUCAGCGGCGCCUCCAGAAAAUAUGUCACACGUACGCGUCAAAUUUUCUCAGAAAAAAUAAACCGCAAAAUAAGCAUGAUAUGCCGCCAGAUAUGAGGCGGCAACAUAGGCAGCCGCAGCCGCAGCCGCAAUCGCAGCCCCCAUGUGUCUGUAUCUUUUUCGAUUACGCAAAAAACACCCAGUGUAACUCAGGGACUCUCCAGGGACCUAGUAAUUUGAAUGAGCUUUUGACUUGUGAAUAAUAUAGUUCUAUAUAUUUUCUGGGUAUUAUUCAAUAACAGAUUCGUUUGAUAAGGAUCCCGAUUCUAUAAAAAAGGCGGAUGAUCAACAGAUCGAAGAACAUCUCUUAGAAUUUUCCUGAGAAACCAAAUGAAAACGAAUGAUUAUACUACGAAUAAAGUGAGUGAGUGAGUGGACAGCAGGGGCGGGGACCUGCUGCUGGUUCUGGUCUAGUCUUUCCGAUAAGAUAUGGCGAAACUAUUCUUGUAAAAUGAGUUUCACUUUUCCUUUAAAUUCAUUGGGGUUUUUUUUGUUUAUUUUCCCCCUCCUCGACCUUGUACUUUGCACAAUUACUUCAUGGAUUUCACAAUAAUAAUAGAAGCAACGGCUAGAGGAAGAGCAAUAA